ACAUUUCAUUGUAUGAUAAGAUUCGGUUAUGUUAUCAAGAACAAGGGCUAGUGCACUUAUUCAUUACUGGGCCACAGAGCACACAUUAAUGAUGAUAAAAAUGUAUAAUAAUAUACCAUAUAGGGGGACUGUUCCCCUAUACUCUCAUUAAUUACUGGAAGAAAGGCCCCUAUCUGUGAGAAUUCACCUGUAAAUGAUAUUAAAAACCGGGUCAUUACCAGAUCCUUACUGGCAUCGGAGUCCCUUCAAGUUUCUUAAAAAGCUCAGAGCACAUCCGCUUCCACCACCGUGUCCACGAGGGACUCCAUCCAAAUUUUUCGAGUUAACCCACUUCUUUGGCAUUAGUUGAUCCAUAUUGUAUUGUUUCAUAUUAUUUACAAGCAAGCAAUCCAUGCCCCACAAAACCCCAAAUGUCAAAUUCGAUGUUGUGUGAGAAUACUGGAAAAAUAUCAGUAUAGUCCGGAGCGUGCGGAGUAAAACAUGAAAAAAUAAAAUUUUAAAAAUUCUA
Drosophila persimilis is the source of this 508-nucleotide long non-coding RNA. RefSeq lists it as uncharacterized. The record is from RefSeq and is a predicted model, not a curated record. NCBI's taxonomy places the organism in Eukaryota, Metazoa, Arthropoda, Insecta, Diptera, Drosophilidae. The transcript is spliced from 2 exons.